Thamnophis elegans (Western terrestrial garter snake) is the source of this 83-nucleotide non-coding RNA. Lineage: Eukaryota; Metazoa; Chordata; Lepidosauria; Squamata; Natricidae. The record is from the annotation of a RefSeq genome assembly.
ACCAGAAUGGCCGAGUGGUUAAGGCGUUGGACUUAAGUUCCAAUAGACGUGAGUCUGCGUGGGUUCGAACCCCACUUCUGGUA